Molecule: long non-coding RNA, 2508 nt
Organism: Passer domesticus (house sparrow)
Lineage: Eukaryota; Metazoa; Chordata; Aves; Passeriformes; Passeridae
Exons: 7
Source: RefSeq, a predicted model, not a curated record
UGGAGGAAUCCAAACUUGUGUGAGGUUUUUUUUCAAGCCUGAAACAACAAAGAGAGGUGUUAAAAAAAAAGAGCAGCUGUGAUGGAGGAAAAAGGGCUGUGGUUAAUCUCUCUUCCUUCGUGGAAGGAAGGAAGCAAGGAGCAGAGCUGGCCCUGGAAAACUGUGAGAUGCCAACACAGAAUUCUCCUGCUGGGAUGCUACGGGGCUGGGCGCAUCACUCAGGGAGCCAGGGCUGGGCUCCUCGUCUCCAAGAGGUUUAGUAAAACCAGGGAUUCAGCAGAGGGGAGCGUGCAGCUCGUGCCUGUGUGCGACAGCAGGGUGAGGAGCCGGCGUCUGUGCGAGAGAAGCUCUUCCAGAAGCAGAAACAGACUUAGCUGGGAUUUUUCCUGCUGCAUAAACAGGAGAGGCUGGGAAUAUUCUUUCUCACUCAUAUCUAAGGCUCAAGUCCUGACUAUUCAAGCCCUCGUGGAUAGCCCUGAGAAAGAUAAGCUAUCUCCCCCAUCUCCCAGCCUGGGAGCAGCAAACAUUCCUGCUUUGUGGAACAAAACCUCUGGCUGACCUAUAUCUAUUAAACAACAAAAGGCUAAAAAAUGCUGGCUUUCAGACAGGUCCUCCUGGGCACGGCUCCACCCUCCCGGGUGAGUUUACAUCCCAAGCAUCCCUGCAGGGUGUCCCCUGUCUCCCUGGGGCCAUCCCUGCCUUCCUGCCCCUCCUCUCCCUGGGGAGCUUCAGGAAACACUAGGGACCAGUGGGAGGGACUGGGAGGAGUGGGGAACCCGCUGCCAGUUUGCAUCCCUGAAAUCCAAACCGUGCGUGCCCAAGCCUGCCAGACCAUUUGUCCCCAAAGCCACAUGGGAGAGAGACAGAGAUGAAAGGUCCCAAGGACCCCUCCGAAAUUCAGCCCCACAGAGGAAGAGCUUCUCUUCUCUAAUGACUUUGUUUUCUUUGCGAGUUCAAACGCAGGUCGGCCAAGUUUGAAUCUGUAAAAUUAUACAGCAGCAAGAGGGAGAAGGGCUCCAAAGGAUCCCCCAGCUGGACUCCAGCCCCAAAAGGGUUUUUGGGGCCCAGGGCAGGGGAUGGAUACCAGCUCCUGGGUGCUCCCCAUCUGCACCACGCAAAUGCACCCAGCCACAAAGAUGCUGAGUAGGUCCUACAUAAACAAUCCUUUCACUGGGUAAGGAGCAGGUGGGACUGGCAGAGCAAGGCAGCAUCCUUGGGGAUAAUCCCAGCAGGCUGGACAGAUACCCUUUUGCCAGGGGAAAGAUUCUAGACAAAAAUAUUACUCCUGCCCUUAAAUGGAAGGGGAGCUUUGGCCCACAGGGAGCUGCUCCAGGUUUCUUUGUGCUGAAAUCCCAGGGAUUCAGUCCCCAUCUUCUACCAGAAACAUUCCUAGGGCAAAAUCCUUCUCUGAAAAAAAAAAAAAAAGCCUUAUCAGAGAAAUUGUCAGGCAGCAGGCACAUAUCUGUUCUUCCACAGGGAAGAAUUGCUCCUUCAGAGAGGUGGAUCAGGCACGGCAGGGAUGUCAUGGGACAGGGCCAGACUGACAGCUCUCGAGCAAGGAUUAAAGGGCGCUGGAGCAUGGGAUUCCCUCAGCCUAAACCUCACGGGUUUUUUGGACAGCCUGAGCUGUUUCAUUUCAUUUCUGCUGUACGAACAUCUUUCAGUUUCUAUUUGGUGGAGCAUUUCUCCAUUUCUCCUUCUUCCUGAAAUUUGGGGUGAAAUCAAAGAUUUUUUAAGAGUCAGAAGUGCCAAUGUUUGCUCCAGGAGGAGCUCAAAGGUGACCACCUUGACUUCCUUCCAUGGGGAUGGCAGCUAUGGGACCGCUUCAAGUCCCCUUCCACAGUCCUCCUCUGCUCCUGCUGCUGCACCCCACAGCUCCCAAAUUUCUCAGGGCUGUUGGAUCCUACCUGUGUUGCCUCAUUCCUAGUGUGUCCCCUCCUGGCUUUUUGUUUUCCCUGCAGGAAGUCUGCUCUUCAUCUGUACUACUCUCCUCUUCCUUGGAAAUCUCCAUCCCCCUUCUGGCCUGUCCCUCUCACCUUUGCAUCCCACCAUCCCAGUCUGUUGUCCCCGAAAUCCUGCAUCUCAUCUUGGGCCAGUUUAAGGGACGCUGGAAAGGAUCUGUGGAGAUUUGCUGAGAUGGUCACGGCUGAGGACAUGCAAGGAGAGGCAAAGAUCUGGGCCAGGAGGUCACUGGGGUCUCCAGAGCAUGGAUCAAGGAUGACCCCAGCAGCCCUCCUCUUCCUCACAUGAAGCCAGGUUUGUCUCCUGCAGGCAUCUGCACAAAAAGCUCUGGCUGGACAGCGGGCGGGACAAUACUCACAACCCUUAUUUGGACUCGGCUCUGGGGAAGAGCUGCAGCUCCCCAGCAGCCAGGAGUUUCUGCCGCACCGAUGUCCAUCUGUGCUGGGACACAACGCUGGGCUGUGUCAUACAGGGAUAGACAGGGAGGCUGUGAACAGCUCGGGACUCUGCUGGGAAGCGCGGCGAGUCCCGAGGCCCCAGCGGAAC